GACGGAGCUGCGGUGGCGUCUCCACACGCAGCCAUGAAGUUGAAGGACACAAAAUCAAGGCCAAAGCAGUCAAGCUGUGGCAAAUUUCAGACAAAGGGAAUCAAAGUUGUGGGAAAAUGGAAGGAAGUGAAGAUUGACCCAAAUAUGUUUGCAGAUGGACAGAUGGAUGACUUGGUGUGCUUUGAGGAAUUGACAGAUUACCAGUUGGUCUCCCCUGCCAAGAAUCCCUCCAGUCUCUUCUCAAAGGAAGCACCCAAGAGAAAGGCACAAGCUGUUUCAGAAGAAGAGGAGGAGGAGGAGGGAGAGUCUAGCUCACCAAAGAAAAAGAUCAAGUUGAAGAAAAGUAAAAAUGUAGCAACUGAAGGAACCAGUACCCAGAAAGAAUUUGAAGUGAAAGAUCCUGAGCUGGAGGCCCAGGGAGAUGACAUGGUUUAUGAUGAUCCGGAGGCUGGGGAGAUGACAUCAGAAAACCUGGUCCAAACUGCUCCAAAAAAGAAGAAAAAUAAAGGGAAAAAAGGGUUCGAGCCUUCUCAGAGCACUGCUGCCAAGGUGCCCAAAAAAGCGAAGACAUGGAUUCCUGAAGUUCAUGAUCAGAAAGCAGAUGUGUCAGCUUGGAAGGACCUGUUUGUUCCCAGGCCGGUUCUCCGAGCACUCAGCUUUCUAGGCUUCUCUGCACCCACACCAAUCCAAGCCCUGACCUUGGUACCUGCCAUCCGUGACAAACUGGACAUCCUUGGGGCUGCUGAGACAGGUAAGGGCAACUCCGGCCAAAGCAGGAUUGCUUCUGGAUUGAGCCCAUAGCUGCUAAUA
This 810-nucleotide small RNA is filed under the name Pan troglodytes (chimpanzee). RNAcentral describes it as "retained intron". The record is from RNAcentral. Lineage: Eukaryota; Metazoa; Chordata; Mammalia; Primates; Hominidae.